This 579-nucleotide long non-coding RNA is filed under the name Hordeum vulgare. RNAcentral describes it as "long non-coding RNA (HVUL_LNC000404)". Lineage: Eukaryota; Viridiplantae; Streptophyta; Magnoliopsida; Poales; Poaceae. The record is from RNAcentral.
GCCCCGCCCGUCCCGCCCUUCCAGGCGACGGCCGCGGCGACCGCCGGCGACGGCGAACAAGGCCCGGGCGCCCCUGCUUCCUGCUUGUCCCCGACCGCAUCCCCCCACUUCUCUGCCCUCACGCACCACCGAGGGCGAGCUCCGCGCGACGCCGGCCGCGACAACAGCGACUCGAGGUGAGCGUCCUCCGGAGAGCACUUCUCUCCUCUUCGCCAGCCCGGAUCCCGCCCUCUUCUCUGAUCUCAUCCGCCGUUCGUUCGCGCACAAACCCUAGAACCCUAGAAACAUAUGAUUUAUUAGUAUGCUGCUAUAUGUUGGGCUCUUACCCGCUGCUCCGUGUUAUCCCCUCCCCACAUGUGGUACAAGUACAGUUCUUGCAAUAAAGUGCGGUAUAUCAUCGUGUAUAUAAAACGAGGGACCAAGCAGCCCGAUCUUUGUAUAAACGCAAUGUCAAUAGUCUGACCACUCGCUCGUUCCAUCUUGUACAUGAUAUGCAUCUGUUUAAGUUGUACACCAAAUGGAAUGCGAAGUUUGAGUAGGAUUAUGAGGUCUAGGGAAAUAUAAUGUCUUUGUAGUCAU